UAACUUUCACUUUUUGAUCACAGGGUGGGUGGCGCUGUCAGAAGAGUCCUGGACUUGAAAGCUGCCUGCAAGCUGCCAAGUGGCAAAGGAUCCAGGAAAAGGCACAGGAUUGGAAAGUGCUACCCAGCAAUCUGUGUAUUCUGCAAUUAAGAAGGGGGGCUGACAGUGAACUUGGCCUUGCUGCCCUAGCCCUUCACUACUCAGAACAGCAGCAGCAUCACCCGGGAAUUUGUCAGAAAUGCAGAAUCUCGGGCGCCACCCUGGACACACGUGAAUCAGAAUCUUCCUUUUAACAAGAACCUGCAGUGAUUCAUACGUACAUUAAAGUCUGAGAAGCGCUGCCUCAGAGUCCUGCUCUCAGACCUUUCUGCCCACUUUCCCUGGGGUCUCUGGACUGGUGGCAGCAAUGGUGGGAACGAGCCCAGCUUUUGUCCCUGACAGGUCUCCUUCAGGCUUCGGAACCUUUGGAAUCACCCUUCCCCGGCAGCACGGACUGGUCCUGAAGUGGCCCCAGCUCUCAAGUCUGACUAUUUGGACUGGUCAGACUCCUGGGCAGUCAGAGGAGAUGGGUGGACUGGAGGCGUUGGGGCUUGGCCAGGACUGAGAAGACACCAGGCACAUCCUCUCUCCAGCACCCCCACCUGGAGUUGCAGAAACAGCCCCAGAUCAGUGACUCUCAGUGUCACUUGCUGUUCUGGACAUUUGAGUUUCUGGCGUUGGGCAGGGCAGUCCCUCCUGCGUGGGGGACCUGGGUGCAGUUUGAUGGGCACUAGCAGGGGAUGUUUGACACGCCCAUGGUAGCUCCUUUCUCCCUGAUCAUGCUCCUCGCUCCUGACCCUCUUUGGGGAACGUUUAUUCCCCAGGUGUUCAGGGACCUCCCGGGAAGGAAGAGGCAAGAGAGCAUUGUUCUUCCUUGUAGCCUGUAGACCAGAGGGGGGUUGCAUGAGGCUCCCCAGGUGUGUGGGUCAGGGUCUGCUUUAGG
Molecule: long non-coding RNA, 982 nt
Organism: Lynx canadensis (Canada lynx)
Lineage: Eukaryota; Metazoa; Chordata; Mammalia; Carnivora; Felidae
Exons: 3
Source: RefSeq, a predicted model, not a curated record